GGAGUACUCCCUCCGUCCGGAAAUACUUGUCCUCGAAAUGGUUGUAUCUAGACUUAUUUUAGUUAUAGAUACAUCCAUUUCAUCAAUUUUUAGGACAACUAUUUCCGGACGGAGGGAGUACAUG
Molecule: non-coding RNA, 124 nt
Organism: Triticum aestivum (bread wheat)
Lineage: Eukaryota; Viridiplantae; Streptophyta; Magnoliopsida; Poales; Poaceae
Source: Rfam